Molecule: ribosomal RNA, 995 nt
Filed under: uncultured organism
Description: bacterial SSU rRNA
Rfam family: Bacterial small subunit ribosomal RNA
Source: RNAcentral
UGGGGAAUAUUGCACAAUGGGGGAAACCCUGAUGCAGCGACGCCGCGUGGAGGAAGAAGGUCUUCGGAUUGUAAACUCCUGUUGUUGAGGAAGAUAAUGACGGUACUCAACAAGGAAGUGACGGCUAACUACGUGCCAGCAGCCGCGGUAAAACGUAGGUCACAAGCGUUGUCCGGAAUUACUGGGUGUAAAGGGAGCGCAGGCGGGAAGACAAGUUGGAAGUGAAAUCUAUGGGCUCAACCCAUAAACUGCUUUCAAAACUGUUUUUCUUGAGUAGUGCAGAGGUAGGCGGAAUUCCCGGUGUAGCGGUGGAAUGCGUAGAUAUCGGGAGGAACACCAGUGGCGAAGGCGGCCUACUGGGCACCAACUGACGCUGAGGCUCGAAAGUGUGGGUAGCAAACAGGAUUAGAUACCCUGGUAGUCCACACCGUAAACGAUGAUUACUAGAUGUUGGAGGAUUGACCCCUUCAGUGCCGCAGUUAACACAAUAAGUAAUCCACCUGGGGAGUACGACCGCAAGGUUGAAACUCAAAGGAAUUGACGGGGGCCCGCACAAGCAGUGGAGUAUGUGGUUUAAUUCGACGCAACGCGAAGAACCUUACCAAGUCUUGACAUCCUGCGACGAUGCUGGAAACAGUAUUUUCCUUCGGGACGCAGAGACAGGUGGUGCAUGGUUGUCGUCAGCUCGUGUCGUGAGAUGUUGGGUUAAGUCCCGCAACGAGCGCAACCCUUACUGUCAGUUACUACGCAAGAGGACUCUGGCAGGACUGCCGUUGACAAAACGGAGGAAGGUGGGGAUGACGUCAAAUCAUCAUGCCCUUUAUGACUUGGGCUACACACGUACUACAAUGGCGUUAAACAAAGAGAAGCAAGACCGCGAGGUGGAGCAAAACUCAGAAACAACGUCCCAGUUCGGACUGCAGGCUGCAACUCGCCUGCACGAAGUCGGAAUUGCUAGUAAUCGUGGAUCAGCAUGCCACGGUGAAUACGUUCCC